ACCUGGGUGGCUCAGUUGGUUGAGCAUCUGACUUCGGCUCAGGUCAUGAUCUCAUGGUUCGUGGGUUUGAGCCCCGCAUUGGGCU
This 85-nucleotide transfer RNA is filed under the name Felis catus (domestic cat). It matches the Rfam family "tRNA". From Rfam's summary of the family: Transfer RNA (tRNA) molecules are approximately 80 nucleotides in length. Lineage: Eukaryota; Metazoa; Chordata; Mammalia; Carnivora; Felidae. RNAcentral also lists the same sequence under 2 other names. The record is from Rfam by way of RNAcentral.